This 468-nucleotide ribosomal RNA is filed under the name uncultured bacterium. RNAcentral's name for it is "partial 16S ribosomal RNA". It matches the Rfam family "Bacterial small subunit ribosomal RNA", at positions 28 to 507 of the family's 1533-position model. The record is from RNAcentral.
GACGAACGCUGGCGGCGUGCUUAGCACAUGCAAGUCGAACGGAAAGGCCCUGCUUUUGUGGGGUGCUCGAGUGGCGAACGGGUGAGUAACACGUGGGUAACCUGCCCUUGACUUUGGGAUAACUUCAGGAAACUGGGGCUAAUACCGGAUAGGAGCUCCUGCUGCAUGGUGGGGGUUGGAAAGUUUCGGCGGUUGGGGAUGGACUCGCGGCUUAUCAGCUUGUUGGUGGGGUAGUGGCUUACCAAGGCUUUGACGGGUAGCCGGCCUGAGAGGGUGACCGGCCACAUUGGGACUGAGAUACGGCCCAGACUCCUACGGGAGGCAGCAGUGGGGAAUAUUGCACAAUGGGCGGAAGCCUGAUGCAGCAACGCCGCGUGCGGGAUGACGGCCUUCGGGUUGUAAACCGCUUUCGCCUGUGACGAAGCGUGAGUGACGGUAAUGGGUAAAGAAGCACCGGCUAACUACGUG